RNAcentral lists this ribosomal RNA (270 nucleotides) under uncultured bacterium. RNAcentral describes it as "partial 16S ribosomal RNA". It matches the Rfam family "Bacterial small subunit ribosomal RNA", at positions 998 to 1267 of the family's 1533-position model. The record is from RNAcentral.
UUCCAGGGAUGGGUUGGUUCCUUUUGGGACUUAUAAACAGGUGGUGCAUGGGUUUUUUUAACUUGUGUUUUGAGAUUUUUGGUUUAAUUCCCCAAAGGGGGCAACCCUUUUUCUUUUUUUCCCGGGGGUUAGGCCGGGAACUUUAAGGAGACUGCCGGUGACAAACUGGAGGAAGGUGGGGAUGACGUCAAGUCAUCAUGGCCCUUACGACUAGGGCUACACACGUGCUACAAUGGUGGGUACAAAGGGUAGCGAACUCGCGAGAGCAAG